Papaver somniferum (opium poppy) is the source of this 4050-nucleotide long non-coding RNA. RefSeq lists it as uncharacterized. NCBI's taxonomy places the organism in Eukaryota, Viridiplantae, Streptophyta, Magnoliopsida, Ranunculales, Papaveraceae. The transcript is spliced from 5 exons. The record is from RefSeq and is a predicted model, not a curated record.
AUUGGAAUGCAGUGAUAGAUUAUUGGUUUCUUAGAAAUCUUGUUUUGUUUGGUUCUUUGAUACCUCUAUUAGAAAGUUCUAUUACAUUUCUUACUCAGUGAUAUACUAAUGAUCUUCAAUUUAUUGAAUGAUGAGAUUAUUUUAGUGCAUUGCGAGGUAGAAUGAGAGUAACAAAUCAAUAGAACGACAAAUAUAUGUUAUGUUUUUAUUAGAAACUAGACUCAUCAUAGGAUGUUUGAAACUAUUAAGAAUAACAUUUGCAAUCAACCUAAUGUGCCAAUUACUGAAAUUUAGGAAUACGGAAUUUUCAUUGUUAUCAGUCAUGUAAUAGAUGAUUAAAGAUGUCGAGCGAGAGCCGCGGAAUAGGCUACAUUAAAUGCGUCGAGUGAGCCAAAUCUCCAAAAUCAAGAGCUUGGAACGAGAAAUAGAUCAUCCACAAAAAAGAACCUUGAUUCUUAGUUUGAGAGACUUGCUAUCACUAUUUCCUUUUUUCAGAUGCUAGUUCUGCAUUUUAGAAUUUUUUAUGCUGAUUGUGGUUUUAGGUGGAAGUGCGACUUCGCCAUUCUAAAAGUUAGGUAUCUUUCUUCAACAUUGAGAAACAACUGUUUCUGACGGUACUGGCAAGGACGAGCUGCCAAGGUACUCCUCACCUGGCUAACCAUAGAUAAGUCAAAGAGGUAUCCCUGAUUGAACUCUUUAGGUUGUAGUUGACUAUUGUGUCUUACAACCGUUCCCUUUUGCAAAUCAUGCUUUCAUUCCUUCCAUACAGUCCUAAGUUAAAAAAUCAGUUUUGGACUAAGAAUCACAUAAACAUAACUGUACUCUUAUUAUGCCGGUUGCCAAAGGUUUAUCGGAGGAUAAAUAGGCACAAAAACUAGCCUUGCAAUGUUGCCUUGAACUGUAAAGUUCAAGGACCUGUAUGAGAAAAGCACCAUGAUUUUCUAAGUCGUUUAUUUUGUAAGACAUCUCUGGAUCAAAAAUAUGCGUGUAAUCUUGUACCUGUCAAAGACUCCCUCAGACAAGAGCCCAACAUUUUAUUAAUCCGUGUCCAAUUUAGAUCAUAACAGAUAUAGAAUGAUCCAGUGUGGGUUCAAUAUCUUAAUUCAGUUCAUGCAUUUAUCUGAGGCAGAUCGGAUGUUCUGCGCAUGUUCUUAUUUGUUUAAAUGUUUAUAUGAUAUAGGAAAUUUGGUUCAGUACUAUUUGCAUUGCCUAAAGGAACAUUGAGGCUUGUUAGAUCUGGCAAAAAGGUAACAGAUAUCAUUUUCUGAUUGUGCAGCUAGAAGCUAAUAAUUCAUGUUAUUUGGGAUAUACUUUCAUACUCUUAAAUGGUUGUUUCUUUCUGUUUAUAUAUAGUCAAGGGGAUUCAUGAUUCGUCUAAGUGAUGUCACAGAUCUUAGCCAUGGAUGAAUUUCCAAAUGAAGCUUUUAUGUCAUAGUUAUCCUGAUAGACGAACCACAAUGUGUUUUUUGUUCUAGUUUAUUGUGUGCUUUACAUAUAAAGGCAACUUUGCCGAGGUGAUCAGGAUAAUGUAUUGAUUUCCUCUUUUUCCCUGUUGCCUAUAUUGAUCUGGCUAUGAUUUGUUUUUUUGGGGACAAUGAAAUACGUAUUUGUUGUCCAACAUCUGUACAUAGUGAAUAUUUUAGCUGAGAAACUUGUGUUACUAUAUUUUUCUACAAAGAAUUUCACGACUGAUGUAUACUUUAGUGCCUCAUAUUGUUUUCUCCCUUUCCGCCGAGGUCAUCAAUAACUAUUUGGUUUCCUCUUUUUCCCUGUUGCUUAUACAUAUUGCUUGGGUAUGCUGUGAUAUCUGGUGUCAUCAAUGUUUUGGUCAUUGAUCCUGGUGUUUUGUAGCCAAAUAAUAUACACAAAAGCGUACUGGAUGUGUUUAUUAGAUCUUAUGACUUUUUGGUAGAGGUGAAACUUUGCCGAGGUCAUCAAUAUUCAUUUGAUUUCCUCUUUUUCCCUGUUGCCAAUAUUUUACUUGGCUAUUCUAUAUGAUUUUUGGGAAAAAUUAUUUUAGAUAGUUUGUCUAGUCUUAUUUGUUGGCAAUAUCUUUGUUUCUGAACACAUACUAGUCCUGGUUGAGUUUCUGUGAUCUGAUGAGACACAGAUAGACGGGCAGCUUUGCUGAGGCUAUCAAUUACAUUUGGUUUCCUCUUUUUCCCUGUUGCCAAUAUUCUAGUUGGCUAUGUUUGGUUAGGUUAUGUUUUCGUCUCAACACUGUCAAAGAUAGGUAGACUUUCACCUGUUCUUUUCUGGUUAUGAACAAUUCAAACUUUGUUUACCGAGGGAAGAGUUUUUGUAUGACAUGUAUCAGGUUUAGUAAGUCGUCAAGUAUCGUUUUGAACUGUGCCCUAGUGAUGAUUACUUAACAGAAGCUAUGGGUUUAACAUCCAAGUGAGGCUCUUUUGUCAUAGUUACUCUGAUGGGGCAAGUUGGUAAUUAAUAUGCUUUUGUUAGUACAUAUGCUUUUGUCAUAGUUCCUUGAUGUGUGAGUCUUAAACCUUGAUAAUUCUUUGUGAUUUAAAAAUGCUCCAUUUUAUCUAUUCUCGAAUUUAUAUAGUGAUUAUUCUUGUUCUGCCAUUAUCAUGUUCCGCUUACUGAUGUAUUUUUUGUAUUUUUUUUAUUGCAAUCGUCGGAUAAUGGAGAGUAUAUGGUUGGAGAAGCCAAACUUGAUGAAGAGUUUUGGGCAUCAGCAGGUUGAAGCACAAGGACUUUAUGAAGAUCCAUCACACAACCAGUUCUUAAAGCAAUACGCCAAGCAGGAAAGGAAGGCGAUAGUGUGCUUAUUGCCAUGCUUAAAAAUGUCAUUGGAACACUGGAUUUUCGUGGCAAGUACCUGUCACAGGGGGAGACAUAUCCUGAGGAACUUUGGAAGCCUGUGAGUUCAUUUAGCACCUUCAAAGAAAGAGGAUCACAGAAAUAUGGCAUAAUCUCGAGUGUAACUGUAACCGAAGUCAACAAGGUGUUUGAAGCAGCAUGCUGAAGUUUGAAUCUGCAAAAGAAGAUGGUAAGACUAUCCAUCCCUCCGUCCUUUGACUGCUUAAGUUCUCUUCCAGUCAUCUAAAUUGCACGCUAGGAAACCACCAUUGGCACUGUACAGAAAGAUGGGAUUUGAGAUACUUGCAGAGGCGACUCCUCAUCUGGAAGAACAUAACCUAUACCUCUGCAGCAUAAAUCUGUGGUUACAUUUUACUCAUUCUUGAAAACUAACAAAGGUUUUGUUCGAAAUGUAAAGUUCUGACAAUAGUAUUCAGUGAGACCUAGCAUAAAAAAAUGGUACAUACGGAACCGUUCAUUGUAAAGUCCAUAUAAACAAGUGUGGCAAAUAUUCAAAUAUAGGAAUAGUUAUCAGGGGAAUAGUUAUCGAGAUUGUUAGUUACUCUGCAUUCUAUGCCGAGAAUGAGCUGUUUGAGUUGCUCAUAUCCAAUUUGUCUGAUAUGGUCGGAAGCCUUGAGAGCGAGCAAAAGCAACCAGUUCUUAAAAGUUUGCAGUGCAUUUUGUUAUGGUAGGUGGGAAUGGUAAUGGUUUCAGGGUGAAACGGGAUGCGACAGGAUGAUAGAGAUAAAGCAUGAAGGUGCUAGGUUGCUUCCGAUGUCAUUGUCAGCAACUAACAAGGGGCAAUCAUUGCUAAGAUUAAGAAUGCUGCUGAGAGACCCUCCUGUAUUGUAUGAGCAUAAAAUAUUUUGAAGUGCUCGGAAGUUGGAUCUUCUCAUAUGGGGCUGGAAUUGCUACUACAAAGGUCAUCUCUGAAGCCCAACUCCCAUAAGACUACGGGCAGAAGCUUCACAAAAUGUUAACUUUUUUACUACUAACGUUUUGAUUACUAGAAGUCAUAAAAUGAUUUCUGCAUAAACAUCCAAACAGGCUACAACUAACAAUUAUUAUAUUUUAACUAUAGAGAAUUAGCCUUUAACAACCAUUCCAACGUAUGUGGAUUAGACUUCUGAUCAUCAGCUGAUCGAUGUAGCAAUCACCAUCUAUUUCAAUUCUCUCUGGGUGUAUAAUCUUUAUAGACUUGUCAGUAAAUGGUAAAAGUAAAUUUUGGAA